Molecule: ribosomal RNA, 250 nt
Filed under: uncultured Verrucomicrobiae bacterium
Lineage: Bacteria; Pseudomonadati; Verrucomicrobiota; Verrucomicrobiia
Description: partial 16S ribosomal RNA
Rfam family: Bacterial small subunit ribosomal RNA
Source: RNAcentral
UACAGAGGUCUCAAGCGUUGUUCGGAUUCACUGGGCGUAAAGGGUGCGUAGGUGGCACGGUAAGUCAGAUGUGAAAGCCCGGAGCUCAACCCCGGAAUGGCAUCCGAUACUGCCGUGCUGGAGGACUGGAGAGGAGACUGGAAUUCUCAGUGGAGCAGUGAAAUGCGUAGAUAUUGAGAGGAACACCAGUGGCGAAGGCGAGACUCUGGACAAUUCCUGACGCUGAGGCACGAAGGCCAGGGGAGCAAAC